CUUGAAAGCCCACGGGCUUGCGCGUUGCCUAGGGUUCACUGGGGCGAGCGAUAAGCAAGCAAUCCUUGGGUUGGCAACACAAGCUCAGUCUUGCGUAUAUUGGCCAGGGCUUUCUCACAGCUCCUAGAGACGGACCUCAGACGUGCAUCACGUGGCCCUCUGAAAACAUGGAGCUCAUUGCUCCGAAGCCAACAGGAGAGCUUCUCCCAGUCCUGCUGCUGCUGCUGUUACAGCUGCUUACGACAGCUAUUGUUGUGGCUAGAGUCUUAUAUUCAAUGUGACACCAUAGGAGAAAUGAUUCCACCACUUUUGCUAUACUACGUAAACUAAUCAAAGGAGGAACAUCCCAUUAUACUCUCAAACCCUGUCUAUAUUCAGGGAGAGGUUAUAACCCAGUUCACUGGGAUCUUAGAAGCCAUUUUUAGGUCUUGCCAACCAUGGCUCUUGAAUGGGUAACUGCUGC
This is a long non-coding RNA of Grammomys surdaster, 463 nucleotides long. RefSeq lists it as uncharacterized. The transcript has 3 exons. NCBI's taxonomy places the organism in Eukaryota, Metazoa, Chordata, Mammalia, Rodentia, Muridae. The record is from RefSeq and is a predicted model, not a curated record.